RNAcentral lists this ribosomal RNA (208 nucleotides) under uncultured bacterium. RNAcentral describes it as "partial 16S ribosomal RNA". It matches the Rfam family "Bacterial small subunit ribosomal RNA", at positions 569 to 776 of the family's 1533-position model. The record is from RNAcentral.
GCGUAGGUGGUUCGUUAAGUCUGAUGUGAAAGCCCUGGGCUCAACCCCGGAGCUGCUUUCGAGACUGCGGACCUGGAGACCAGUAGGGGUUGGUGGAAUUCCCGGUGUAGCGGUGGAAUGCGUAGAUAUCGGGAAGAACACCCGUGGCGAAGGCGGCCAACUGGGCUGGAUCUGACGCUGAGGCGCGAAAGCGUGGGGAGCAAACAGG